Non-coding RNA from Camellia sinensis, 1740 nucleotides. NCBI's taxonomy places the organism in Eukaryota, Viridiplantae, Streptophyta, Magnoliopsida, Ericales, Theaceae. The record is from RefSeq and is a predicted model, not a curated record.
UGUCCAGCUGCACCAUGAUAAAUAAAAAUCUUAACCAAACAAACCUUUUUUAGCAGUUAAAGAUGGUAUUGAACAUUGACAAAUCCAAUUCUUGCAUUGAGUUUGAGCAUUAACCUCAACAAGUGAACCAAAGCAAGGAACUUUCCCAUCCUAACAAAUGCUCCAUUUUCCUGCCAUAUUAAUGUUAUAAGUUCUUAAGCUGCAUGGAGCAACAUAAUAAUAAACAGUUCUAUACUCUCUGUUUGCUUCCACCCUCUUCUUUUCCCCUUUCUUUUACUCUUAGAGACAAGAACUUUAUUAGAGAAAAAAAUGAUAGUACGUUGGAAUUUGGGCAUCCCUCUAGGCACAGUUUCAUAAGUGCUUAGAAUUUCACAUAUGUUUCUCUGCACACAUUUAAUAAACCUAAGGCUGCAUUACAUUUCCAUCCUAACCACAGAAUUUACUUCUUGGUGCCAAACUUACAGAUAUUUUGCUAUUUUAGGCAUCCCAAUAACUAUCUUUGCAACAAGGAUUCAUAAUUUUGAUUAAUACAAUUUAUGUUUCUAGUUUGUUUAACUUCUUCCUUUUCUUUUUCUUUUUUUCUAAUUUAAUCAUCAAAUAAUCUGUCUCUUUCUUAAUUCUGCAUUGCUAUACUUUAUCCUACAAGGACCAACAGAUUACAAUGAAGUAGGAAGUAGGAUGAUAUAAUAAUAUCCAUAUACAUUUCCCACAUGCUUCCCAAUCUACUUACUAGUCAGCCCAAGGGGUCAUAUCACAUGCACAAUAGUAAUUUGGAAACCACAUAUAAUGCAUACUCACAAAAGUUCCUGGUAUUAAGCAUAAAAAACAUUAAGGUUAUGAAAGGGGAAAUUCUAGGAUUUUAAAAGAAAACAGAACAUAGAGGAAAAUAGGGCCAGCAGAGAGCAGAAGAAGAACAAAGGCAACAGCAACCAGAAAGAAGCAGCAUCAUGGUUCUCAACUAUUCAUUCUUACUCCCAAGGAUCAUGCCCAUCUGUUAACGGAUUGAAGGUGGAAUCCUGCCCCCAGUUGAAUUGCUAGAGUUUAUUGACUCAAAAGUCCAGAGAGCAGAAGCAGGAGCCCUACGAACCCUUGCCUUUAAAAAUGAUGAGAACAAAAAUUAGGUUGACUACUUUCUCUGAUUCACCGAACUCAUUUGAGGAUCUAAAUAAAAUUUUAAUUUAUUAUGCAGUUUGUGUUUUGAAAUUAUAAAUCUGCAGAUUGUGGAAUGCAAUGCUCUACAUACUCUUAUUCUAUUGCUUCGGUCUAAGGAUGCUGCCAUACAUUAUGACGCAGUUGGCUCUAAUUUUAAUCUAUAUCAUUCAAUCUUGAACUUUACAUACAUUUGGGACAUUUUUUUAUUACUUCAUAUUGCCGGAACCCAGAAUCACUAAUUGACCUCUGAAUUUUUUGUCAGGUUGGUGUGAUUGGGAAUCUGGUGCAUUCAUCCCCAAAUAUUAAGAGAGAAGUUCUGCUUGCUGGAGCUUUACAACCUGUUAUCAGUUUACUCAGGUACUAAUCUUUCACUCAAUUUGACUUUGUUGAAUCAUUUUUGUUUCAUUGACUGUAUGUUUUUGUUAGUUGUUGGUUGUAUUUUAUCCUAAACUUUCUUCGAACAGGUGUCUGCAAAAGCACAAAAAGUAACAAAAACCCAUGCUUUCUUUUUAAUUUUCUUCUUCUUUAACUCAAUUUUCUGCCAGUCAAAUGGAUUUAAGCGAGAAAUAAAUGAAAAUUCAAGGGAGU